UGGAUAGUGGGGUAUUGCUGGGACAGACAUGAUCACGUUGUUUGACUUUAAAACUUUGAGUUAGAAAAGCCAUUGAGUGUUGAGGGCUCAGUGGUAUGUUCUAUAGGAGCCUGGAAAUGAAGAAUGUUGAGAGCAGAGCAGAUGAUGGAGGCCUGCCUUGUGAAGUUUCAGAGGGAGGUUUACAGACUCUAUUGGGGCCAUUUGUUAUUUUGAAUUAAGAUUUUGUGGUUUUGAUUAGCUAAGACUGAAGAAUCAGCUGCGAUUAACAAGAUACCAGAACUACUAAAGAGAAAACUUUGCUUUGCCGGGAUACUUGAUGCUGGUCAGCUGGAGCUAAGAAAUUAGCAGUAAUUAAGAAGAGACCAGCAUCACUGAGGUGAAAUUUUCUGGGAAGUGUUUCCUGAGAGUUAACACAUAGAAGCUGUGUUCCAGAAACGUGCAAGGUUUUACUGACAGCUGAACUUGGUAGUGUAAGCGUCUCCUAGGUGGUUCUGGCUUCGAAAGCAUGAAGGAGUCAUGGAGAGCAUCUGAGGUUUGGCACUAUGUGACAGGGUUGGAGUCCCCAAAGAGAGCCUAAGAGGUGCUAUUGGUGAAAGCGUGCCCAAGUUGAAGCAGAAAACCCUGGCAUUUUGGAGAUGCUAGUGGCAUGGGAUGAUUGCCAAGAACAGCAGCAGCAGUGGAGUGGAGCUAGCUGAAGCCUUGAAAACAAGCUGUGUGUGCUACAGGGUGAGAAGCUGGAGAAGUGACCUAACUCCCAGAAGACCAUGAUGAAUCCCAGACAGUUGAACAAGUUAGAGAGCUCUUUGGCCAGCCUGAGGAACCCUAACUUAGGGUGUUGGAGUCAAACCCGUUUGGUGUUAAGCUUCUCUUAGCCAGCAUCUCUGGAACUGAGCAUGUCAUCAGUCCUAUGACCUGAAGCAACAAAAGCUAGAAUUUUACUUCACGGCCAGCUGCUUCUCUGGGAAAAGAGUUACUAACUUUGUAUAAUAAUGUUUUAUGGCUUACCUCGCCUCCUCCCACAAAUUACUUCCAUAAUGAGGGGAUGGAGGACCUGUGGAUUCUGCAGAACCUUCACUUGACAAGACGCCUGCGAAUGGUGAUGCACAGAUGGACUGGGAUGAGCUUAAUUCAUUAUUGCACACACACUACAGCUUUGUUUAUUAUUAAUGACAUGGCAUACAUUUUCCUUAGCUCUGGAACUGAAUAAAGCAAUAACCCCAACAUAAGGGAGACAGGAAUUGGAAGAUAAUAAAUAUUUAUCACCAAAUCUCUCACUUUCCUAGCAACCACAAAUGGAGGAGGAAAUGAGCAUCUCAUUUUUUUUAAGAGCCAGUGCCAGGAAAACAAAAAGCUUAAAAAAUCUCAUUAAUCAAGCAGAUUGAUUGCUGUGGGUUCCAGAAAUCUCAAUAUGGUUUUUUAAUCGAGGGAAAUGCAAUGACUGAACACAGUUGUGGUACUCUUUGAGACCUGCAAUCUUGGCCAGAUGCCACUUGCAAAAAUGACUAUCAUCUAACAGGAGUAUUAAAUAAUACAAUAUACUUGCUACGCUCUUCGAAGAGCAUUACUUUGUUUUCCUACACUCAGUACAUAGGGCAACAACUGAGGCAUGGAACUAGUUUUCACAGAGCAGGUUGAGUUCAUUUCAGGAAAUUUACUAAUAUAUUAUCAUUGUGUUUUAAAAUUAUGAGUAAACAGAGAUGUGUUUUAUUCAUGGGAUUUUGACUUUUACUGGUAUAAAAUGAUACCUUUGAAGUAGUCAGAGUGUUUCAAACUUUAAGAAGAACAGCUUAGCUUCUUCAUGGGGAGGCAAUAGUAUCCUUGGUUUAUGCUUUUUCUUGCCAUUACUCAUGCUAACGAGAAAGUUUCAGUAUGAACUUCUAGUCUACUCACUGUAACUAAUCAGCAGUGUGACUUUUCACAAGUUGCUCUGAUCCUCUGGAUCUCAGAGUCCUCAUUUUAUAAGUUGUAGGAAUUCAGAACUGGGCUCUUAAAGCCUUAUCUUCCAUUAGAAUUGGUCUGCACAGCUUUAUUGCUAGCCUUAGUUUUGCCUAUUUGGAUUAUUAUCCUCAGACUACCUUAUCAACUUGCCAUCAAAACUGUCACAAACAUGUUUUUACUGAUA
This is a long non-coding RNA of Mesocricetus auratus (golden hamster), 2122 nucleotides long. RefSeq lists it as uncharacterized. The record is from RefSeq and is a predicted model, not a curated record. The transcript has 4 exons. NCBI's taxonomy places the organism in Eukaryota, Metazoa, Chordata, Mammalia, Rodentia, Cricetidae.